Molecule: ribosomal RNA, 492 nt
Filed under: uncultured bacterium
Lineage: Bacteria
Description: partial 16S ribosomal RNA
Rfam family: Bacterial small subunit ribosomal RNA
Source: RNAcentral
AGUGAACGCUGGCGGUAGGCCUAACACAUGCAAGUCGAACGGCAGCACAGUAAGAGCUUGCUCUUACGGGUGGCGAGUGGCGGACGGGUGAGGAAUACAUCGGAAUCUACUUUUUCGUGGGGGAUAACGUAGGGAAACUUACGCUAAUACCGCAUACGACCUACGGGUGAAAGCAGGGGAUCUUCGGACCUUGCGCGAUUGAAUGAGCCGAUGUCGGAUUAGCUAGUUGGCGGGGUAAAGGCCCACCAAGGCGACGAUCCGUAGCUGGUCUGAGAGGAUGAUCAGCCACACUGGAACUGAGACACGGUCCAGACUCCUACGGGAGGCAGCAGUGGGGAAUAUUGGACAAUGGGCGCAAGCCUGAUCCAGCCAUACCACGUGGGUGAAGAAGGCCUUCGGGUUGUAAGGCCCUUUUGUUGGGAAAGAAAAGCAGCAGGUUAAUACCCCGCUGUUCUGACGGUACCCAAAGAAUAAGCACCGGCUAACUUCGUG